GGUUAAGCGACUAAGCGUACACGGUGGAUGCCCUGGCAGUCAGAGGCGAUGAAGGACGUGCUAAUCUGCGAAAAGCGUCGGUAAGGUGAUAUGAACCGUUAUAACCGGCGAUGUCCGAAUGGGGAAACCCAGUGCAAUUCGUUGCACUAUCGUUAACUGAAUACAUAGGUUAACGAGGCGAACCGGGGGAACUGAAACAUCUAAGUACCCCGAGGAAAAGAAAUCAACCGAGAUUCCCCCAGUAGCGGCGAGCGAACGGGGAGCAGCCCAGAGUCUGAAUCAGCUUGUGUGUUAGUGGAACGGUCUGGAAAGUCCGACGGUACAGGGUGAUAGUCCCGUACACCAAAAUGCACAGGCUGUGAACUCGAAGAGUAGGGCGGGACACGUGGUAUCCUGUCUGAAUAUGGGGGGACCAUCCUCCAAGGCUAAAUACUCCUGACUGACCGAUAGUGAACCAGUACCGUGAGGGAAAGGCGAAAAGAACCCCGGCGAGGGGAGUGAAAAAGAACCUGAAACCGUGUACGUACAAGCAGUGGGAGCACCUUCGGGUGUGACUGCGUACCUUUUGUAUAAUGGGUCAGCGACUUAUAUUCUGUAGCAAGGUUAACCGUAUAGGGGAGCCGCAGGGAAACCGAGUCUUAACUGGGCGUUAAGUUGCAGGGUAUAGACCCGAAACCCGGUGAUCUAGCCAUGGGCAGGUUGAAGGUUGGGUAACACUAACUGGAGGACCGAACCGACUAAUGUUGAAAAAUUAGCGGAUGACUUGUGGCUGGGGGUGAAAGGCCAAUCAAACCGGGAGAUAGCUGGUUCUCCCCGAAAGCUAUUUAGGUAGCGCCUCGUGAAUUCAUCUUCGGGGGUAGAGCACUGUUUCGGCUAGGGGGUCAUCCCGACUUACCAACCCGAUGCAAACUACGAAUACCGAAGAAUGUUAUCACGGGAGACACACGGCGGGUGCUAACGUCCGUCGUGAAGAGGGAAACAACCCAGACCGCCAGCUAAGGUCCCAAAGUCAUGGUUAAGUGGGAAACGAUGUGGGAAGGCACAGACAGCCAGGAUGUUGGCUUAGAAGCAGCCAUCAUUUAAAGAAAGCGUAAUAGCUCACUGGUCGAGUCGGCCUGCGCGGAAGAUGUAACGGGGCUAAACCAUGCACCGAAGCUGCGGCAGCGACACUAUGUGUUGUUGGGUAGGGGAGCGUUCUGUAAGCCUGCGAAGGUGUGCUGUGAGGCAUGCUGGAGGUAUCAGAAGUGCGAAUGCUGACAUAAGUAACGAUAAAGCGGGUGAAAAGCCCGCUCGCCGGAAGACCAAGGGUUCCUGUCCAACGUUAAUCGGGGCAGGGUGAGUCGACCCCUAAGGCGAGGCCGAAAGGCGUAGUCGAUGGGAAACAGGUUAAUAUUCCUGUACUUGGUGUUACUGCGAAGGGGGGACGGAGAAGGCUAUGUUAGCCGGGCGACGGUUGUCCCGGUUUAAGCAUGUAGGCUGGUUGUCCAGGCAAAUCCGGAUAAUCAAGGCUGAGGUGUGAUGACGAGGCACUACGGUGCUGAAGUAACAAAUGCCCUGCUUCCAGGAAAAGCCUCUAAGCAUCAGGUAACAUUAAAUCGUACCCCAAACCGACACAGGUGGUCAGGUAGAGAAUACCAAGGCGCUUGAGAGAACUCGGGUGAAGGAACUAGGCAAAAUGGUGCCGUAACUUCGGGAGAAGGCACGCUGGUGUGUAGGUGAAGUCCCUGCGGAUGGAGCUGAGACCAGUCGAAGAUACCAGCUGGCUGCAACUGUUUAUUAAAAACACAGCACUGUGCAAACACGAAAGUGGACGUAUACGGUGUGACGCCUGCCCGGUGCCGGAAGGUUAAUUGAUGGGGUUAUCCGUAAGGAGAAGCUCUUGAUCGAAGCCCCGGUAAACGGCGGCCGUAACUAUAACGGUCCUAAGGUAGCGAAAUUCCUUGUCGGGUAAGUUCCGACCUGCACGAAUGGCGUAAUGAUGGCCAGGCUGUCUCCACCCGAGACUCAGUGAAAUUGAACUCGCUGUGAAGAUGCAGUGUACCCGCGGCAAGACGGAAAGACCCCGUGAACCUUUACUAUAGCUUGACACUGAACAUUGAGCCUUGAUGUGUAGGAUAGGUGGGAGGCUUUGAAGCGUGGACGCCAGUCUGCGUGGAGCCAACCUUGAAAUACCACCCUUUAAUGUUUGAUGUUCUAACGUUGGCCCCU
This 2208-nucleotide ribosomal RNA is filed under the name Klebsiella pneumoniae. Its description in RNAcentral is "partial 23S ribosomal RNA". It matches the Rfam family "Bacterial large subunit ribosomal RNA", at positions 1 to 2236 of the family's 2925-position model. The record is from RNAcentral. Lineage: Bacteria; Pseudomonadati; Pseudomonadota; Gammaproteobacteria; Enterobacterales; Enterobacteriaceae.